GCCUGGCUGGCUCAGUUGGUGGAGCAUGCAACUCCUGAUCUCAGAGUCAUGAGUUCAAGUCCCAUGAUAGGCA
RNAcentral lists this transfer RNA (73 nucleotides) under Felis catus (domestic cat). It matches the Rfam family "tRNA". Rfam says of the family: Transfer RNA (tRNA) molecules are approximately 80 nucleotides in length. Their secondary structure includes four short double-helical elements and three loops (D, anti-codon, and T loops). Lineage: Eukaryota; Metazoa; Chordata; Mammalia; Carnivora; Felidae. The record is from Rfam by way of RNAcentral. RNAcentral also lists the same sequence under 5 other names.